GACGAACGCUGGCGGCGUGCUUAACACAUGCAAGUCGAGCGGUAAGGCCCUUUCGGGGGUACGACGAGCGGCGAACGGGUGAGUAACACGUGGGUGACCUGCCCUCAGCUCUGGGAUAAGCCUGGGAAACUGGGUCUAAUACUGGAUAUGACUCCACGGUGCAUGUCGUGGGGUGGAAAGCCUUGUGCGGCUGAGGAUGGGCCCGCGGCCUAUCAGCUUGUUGGUGGGGUGAGGCCUACCAAGGCGACGACGGGUAGCCGGCCUGAGAGGGCGACCGGCCACACUGGGACUGAGACACGGCCCAGACUCCUGCGGGAGGCAGCAGUGGGGAAUCUUGCGCAAUGGGCGAAAGCCUGACGCAGCGACGCCGCGUGAGGGAUGACGGCCU
RNAcentral lists this ribosomal RNA (388 nucleotides) under uncultured bacterium. Its description in RNAcentral is "bacterial SSU rRNA". It matches the Rfam family "Bacterial small subunit ribosomal RNA", at positions 28 to 417 of the family's 1533-position model. The record is from RNAcentral.